This 564-nucleotide non-coding RNA is filed under the name Trichomonas vaginalis G3. RNAcentral's name for it is "Eukaryotic small subunit ribosomal RNA". It matches the Rfam family "Eukaryotic small subunit ribosomal RNA", at positions 1210 to 1831 of the family's 1831-position model. The record is from Rfam by way of RNAcentral. Lineage: Eukaryota; Parabasalia; Trichomonadida; Trichomonadidae.
GACAGGACCGAUGUUUUUUAUGACUGACAGGCUUCGGGUCUUUCAAGAUAUUGUUUUUGGUGGUGCAUGGCCGUUGGUGGUGCGUGGGUUGACCUGUCUAGCGUUGAUUCAGCUAACGAGCGAGAUUAUCGCCAAUUAUUUACUUUGCCGAAGUCCUUCGGUUAAAGUUCUAAUUGGGACUCCCUGCGAUUUUAGCAGGUGGAAGAGGGUAGCAAUAACAGGUCCGUGAUGCCCUUUAGAUGCUCUGGGCUGCACGCGUGCUACAAUGUUAGGAUCAAUAGGACUGCGAGCCUGAGAGGGUGCGCUACUCUUAUAAUCCCUAACGUAGUUGGGAUUGACGUUUGUAAUCAGCGUCAUGAACCAGGAAUCCCUUGUAAAUGUGUGUCAACAACGCACGUUGAAUACGUCCCUGCCCUUUGUACACACCGCCCGUCGCUCCUACCGAUUGGAUGACUCGGUGAAAUCACCGGAUGCUUACGAGCAGAAAGUGAUUAAAUCACGUUAUCUAGAGGAAGGAGAAGUCGUAACAAGGUAACGGUAGGUGAACCUGCCGUUGGAUCAGUU